GUUACUAUUCACAAGCCAUUUGGGUCGGCUCACAAGCCAAAUGUUAGGUCAGCUCAGUUAGUGGGGAGUCGUUGGAACUUGGAAAUGAAUCAGAGUCUGUCUGUUACCUUGUUUUUAUCUUCUUUCUAGACUAAAAUCUGAAAAUGUCUUUCUUCAAAGUUCGGUUUUCAUUUUCAUCCUCAUCUUCACUCGACAGAAGGAAACCCUAGCCCCAUUUCGUCUGUUCUUUUAGCAACAACCAUACUGCCGUGGCCUUCAACGAUAUGUUCCGACAAACCAUUCACCAUUCGCCUGAAUCUGUGAAGAAGUAAGUUUUCUGCUGGUCUUUGUUAUUUUCUUCAGCUUUAUUUAAGGUAUGUUGUUGUCGUUUCUGUCUAUACAUGAAAAUUUAGCUGGGUUCCUCUUCGUUUACCUUCAUCUAGCUUAGAAGUUUAAAAUUUUGUUCGAUCUUCGCUUUUAAUGCUUUCACGAGGAUUAGAGGAGGUUGCUGUCGGUAUAUCGGAUAUUUUUUGGCUGAUUUGGGAGAUAGGGAAGGGCUUGAAUCAAGGAGAGAUGAGAGACAUGAAAGAUCUUCAGGCAAUUUAGAAAAAGCCACCGGAGAAAGGUUUUAACAGUUGAUGAGUCAUCAUUUGCAAAUUGCAAGUAGCUUCUAUCGAAGCUGUUCAUAUAUCUGAUGUUUCAUGAGCAGAAAGAUCAAGUGGCUGUGGAGUUGAUACUUUCAAGUAGCAUUUCCAGGUGUAGAACACCCUAGAUUAUAUGGGAAAAUGGCUAGGAAUUGCAUGUGCAGAACUUGCAAAUACAUAUUAUAGAGAUGAAGUGCGAAGAGUUGAAGCGUAUCUUGAAAGAAAAAACAUUGGCUCAAUAGAGUUACAUAUUCGUUACUGUUUCAAAGUAAGGGCUAUCUUCCAUCGGGAUGUAGUUCUUCAUAUUGCUUGCCUUCAGUGCAGUUUGUCAACUUGAGGAUUUUAGAGCAGAUUUUAGCAAUGCCAAACAUUAUCAUCAUCAGAUGUGGAAAUGCUUACGUUAUGAUGCCAAAUCAAAUCAAGGUCCUUCCAGUAAGUGUUUUCCCUCGUUGUUUGUUAAUUAAUUGAUAUAUGGAAGUAAAUACUUUUAUGAACAUGUUCAAUGAGGAAAUGAUAGAAACUCUAUUUGGCUAAGCUUCUGCUAAGAAAAACAAGAACGUAUUCAACCAAUAUAUCCAAAUAAUUUAUUCAAAGAAAUCUUAGAAUUUAUCAAUUCUUCUCAAAGCAUUAAACGUGACUACAGAAGAAGAUUGUGACACACUUCAAGAAGGUAACAUUUUUGUUUUUUAUUAAAACUUUUUGAGAGACAAUUUAUUUGAAGAGAAUAACUUGAUUAUCUGUAAAAAUACUUGAAAACAAGUUUUGAGGACCAAAUCAGAUAAAGGAGAGAUUUUAUUUAAUUCAUAGAUGGAUCAUAUGAUCUAAUUUAUGCAUAACUCAGCCACAACAUGUGGCAUUGAAAGGGAGGGAAGACUAAUAUGGUAUUGGCAGAUAAAAUUUAUUUGAAAGUCAAUAAAUGUCAUAAGGGAUUUUUGACAAAAGAAAACACGUGUUUUCGUAUUUUAUCAUUCUUUAUGAUAGGUUUGAUCUGAGUUAAAGGUGCUAGCACUCUAAUUUACCUGUAUGAAUGUUAGUUGAUGUAUAUGUUAAUCAACAAUAAUCUUCCUUGACAUCCAUUAGUUAUAUGUUAUAAUUUUACACGCUACUAUAUCUAAGCAGUUAAGUGAUGUAAAUGAGCAACAAUCCUAUCACACUUAGUGAGAUAAAAAAAUCUAACAUGGUUGAGAAUCCUUCUCUGCGUGAGAAUCCAAAUGAUUCAUCUCCUGUAAUCACUAUUCAUGAAAAGAAAUGGACUGAUGGAUGUAUUCCACUGGAUACACUCUCUUCAGGCCCACAUUGCUUGGGAAGGUGUAUUUUGUUUUGAACUUAAUUAACUCUAUAACAAGAAGUUGUUGUGUUCACUGCUUACUUCAAUUGCUGUAUUUAACUCCC
Molecule: long non-coding RNA, 2015 nt
Organism: Olea europaea var. sylvestris
Lineage: Eukaryota; Viridiplantae; Streptophyta; Magnoliopsida; Lamiales; Oleaceae
Exons: 4
Source: RefSeq, a predicted model, not a curated record